GCGGGCGUAGCUCAAUGGUAGAGCCGGGCGCUUCCAACGCUCAGACGCGGGUUCGAUUCCCGCCGCCCGCU
RNAcentral lists this transfer RNA (71 nucleotides) under Actinomycetes bacterium. RNAcentral's name for it is "Actinobacteria bacterium tRNA-Gly". It matches the Rfam family "tRNA". Rfam says of the family: Transfer RNA (tRNA) molecules are approximately 80 nucleotides in length. Their secondary structure includes four short double-helical elements and three loops (D, anti-codon, and T loops). Further hydrogen bonds mediate the characteristic L-shaped molecular structure. tRNAs have two regions of fundamental functional importance: the anti-codon, which is responsible for specific mRNA codon recognition, and the 3' end, to which the tRNAs corresponding amino acid is attached (by aminoacyl-tRNA synthetases). tRNAs cope with the degeneracy of the genetic code in two manners: having more than one tRNA (with a specific anti-codon) for a particular amino acid; and 'wobble' base-pairing, i.e. permitting non-standard base-pairing at the 3rd anti-codon position. RNAcentral also lists the same sequence under 1 other name. The record is from RNAcentral. Lineage: Bacteria; Bacillati; Actinomycetota; Actinomycetes.